UGUGCGCCCCGACGGAGCCGGAACUCCUUUUGCGAGAGGCUAUGCCGAGCAAAAGAGUGGGAGGCGGAGGCGGAAAAGGCG
RNAcentral lists this unclassified non-coding RNA (81 nucleotides) under Soonwooa buanensis. Its description in RNAcentral is "Flavo-1 RNA". The record is from RNAcentral. Lineage: Bacteria; Pseudomonadati; Bacteroidota; Flavobacteriia; Flavobacteriales; Weeksellaceae.